GUUAGGAAUAUUGGACAAUGGGCGCAAGCCUGAUCCAGCCAUGCCGCGUGAGUGAUGAAGGCCUUCGGGUUGUAAAGCUCUUUAGUCCACGAAUAUAAUGACUGUAGUGGAAGAAUAAGCCCCGGCUAACUUCGUGCCAGCAGCCGCGGUAAUACGAAGGGGGCGAGCGGUAUUCGGAAUCACUGGGCGUAAAGCGUGCGUAGGCUGUUUUGUAAGUCAGAAGUGAAAGCCCAGGGCUUAACCCUGGAAUUGCUUUUGAAACUACAAGACUCGAAUUCGGGAGAGGAUAGCGGAAUUGUCAGUGUAGCAGUGAAAUGCGUAGAUAUUGACAGGAACACCAGUGGCGCAAGCGGCUAUCUGGACCGAUAUUGACGCUGAGGCACGAAAGCGUGGGGAGCAAACAGGAUUAGAAACCCGUGUAGUCC
Molecule: ribosomal RNA, 425 nt
Filed under: uncultured bacterium
Lineage: Bacteria
Description: partial 16S ribosomal RNA
Rfam family: Bacterial small subunit ribosomal RNA
Source: RNAcentral